This 151-nucleotide unclassified non-coding RNA is filed under the name soil metagenome. RNAcentral's name for it is "partial internal transcribed spacer 1". The record is from RNAcentral.
CCGAGUUUACAACUCCCAAACCCCUGUGAACAUACCUAUCGUUGCUUCGGCGGAUCCGCCCCGGCGCCCUCGGGCCCGGAUCAGGCGCCCGCCGGAGACCCCAAACUCUUGUAUUUCUUUAGUAUCUUCCGAGUAACAAGCAAAUAAAUUA